CCCGGUUUGCGGGGUCUCCCGGGAAGCCAGCCCCACAUUUUCUAAGGAGCUGUAGCUUCUAUUCCUCUGCAGCGUCAGCCUCCCCUCGGCCAUUGCCAAAGGCACUUAGACAGCCCAGCCCGGGGCAUUCACAGAAGAGCCGAGUCAUCCCUUAUGAGGCCACAUGCACUCAGUGGUCCCCGGAGCCUCUGUCCGGAGGUCAGGGGGCGCCUGGAAAUUCUGGGAGCAUACUGCAGAGUCAGGGGGUGAAGCCCUGCUCUGCGGCCGGCCGAGGCCUGUGGGGAGGCAGAGAGCCAGUGGCUGCGUCAGGAAUACUCAUUCUCGGCUCUGGAGGUGCAUCUGGCCAGACAACAUGAUGCAGCCUGGAAUUGCCAUCUCUCCUCCUGGGAGGUUUAUCCCUCCCAUCUGCUACAUUUCACCCAAAUGAGGAUGCAGAUCAGAAACAUGACUUGGAGGACAAGGAUGCCCACUUCGCUCAGCUGGCCUUGGGGAUUACUGGUCGUCACUCAGUUUAUGUGACCAUGUUGGAACCUCUAGACGCUGACUCUGAUCUGCUGUCAUUAGAAACACCAAACAUUUACCAAAAGAGCCAAGUCACUGAACCCAAGGGGUUAGUUUGUUUUGAAAACAGACCUAGACUUUCUACCAAGAGCCAGAAAAUCAUUGAAAACAUAAAACAACAAAAAUCUGUGGUGUGUUUGUAAAAAACGAAGACUCUGACCCUGAUCUAAACCAGAGUAUUUUUCUCCUGGCUCCCUCCCUUUUUCCCUUAAUUAGGCUAACUGGAAAGGAAAGGCUUUCAUCAGACCCAAACAGUAAUCUUCCUACCCUAAUCUCUAGGACAAAACAGAGAAUCUGGUCUGGAAUUGAAUUUGAAAUAUUAAAGAAAAAUAACUACCAGC
RNAcentral lists this long non-coding RNA (902 nucleotides) under Equus caballus (horse). RNAcentral's name for it is "lncRNA (ENSECAG00000041004.2)". The record is from RNAcentral. Lineage: Eukaryota; Metazoa; Chordata; Mammalia; Perissodactyla; Equidae.